RNAcentral lists this ribosomal RNA (208 nucleotides) under uncultured bacterium. RNAcentral's name for it is "partial 16S ribosomal RNA". It matches the Rfam family "Bacterial small subunit ribosomal RNA", at positions 568 to 775 of the family's 1533-position model. The record is from RNAcentral.
UGUGUAGGCGGUUCUUUAAGUUUGGUGUGAAAUCUCCCGGCUCAACCGGGAGGGUGCGCCGAAUACUGAGGGACUAGAGUGCGGGAGAGGAAAGUGGAAUUCCUGGUGUAGCGGUGAAAUGCGUAGAUAUCAGGAGGAACACCGGUGGUGUAGACGGCUUCUGGACCGUAACUGACGCUGAGACACGAAAGACGUGGGUAGCAAAACA